Long non-coding RNA from Cephus cinctus (wheat stem sawfly), 4040 nucleotides. RefSeq lists it as uncharacterized. The record is from RefSeq and is a predicted model, not a curated record. NCBI's taxonomy places the organism in Eukaryota, Metazoa, Arthropoda, Insecta, Hymenoptera, Cephidae. The transcript has 4 exons.
ACGAUUCAUCAUACAGUGUAUGUAGAGACGUACACGUAUGCCGGUUGUAAAUACUUGAGUAUCCGUGGGCACUGGCGAGUAGAGCCGUGUGGCAAGACACUGAUUGAAUUGAAGUAAUAUCAGGAGCAGUGAGUAAUGGUCGUUGAGGAUUCAAAUGUGGCCCUGUCAGUGAUUUGUGUGUGUGUACGGAUCAGAUAGUGUGUAGUCAUGCCAGAUUCCUAAUUCUCCGGAGAAUAUAUAUAUUGACGUAAAACCUGCAGUUAUACCAAGUUCAAGUGGACACUGGAUCUCCUUGAGUAUCGUGUCAAUAAGAUCCCUGCCGGACGUAUAGGAUCUGCCCGGGUGGUCCAGAAGUCCCAGGCACAUAGGGCCCAAGAGAGGAGCCACCAGCCGUAGAAGCAAGCGCCCCUUUAUCUGCCUGACGCGUAAGACAAUGUGGCCCUCCGCAUCUGAUUGAUACGCGAUACUAUCCACCUAUCAUAACACCAUGCCACCAGCUAUACCCAGUGCUCAGAUUAAAUGUAUACAAAAAAUACUAAGCAUCGAAUCCGGCUAUGAAGGGAGAAAUAAAAUAUGUUAAUUCUUCAAGUUUAACGAUUCUUUUCAAGUCAUUGAAUCCAUCUACGAUAAGGAACACCCGGUAGAUCAACCGAGUCGGUACUCACCGUCAACCGGUCCAAUGAUAUCUCUGAUGUCUCGGCGAUGAUUUAUUCGACGUAAGAUGGCUGACUUGGGUUACCCAUGAGCCAGGGCGUAAGUACUCUAAACAGAAGCUAUUGUGAACGUCCGCACGAGAUGGACAUACCCCACGCAAGCCUGGAUCUCGAAUGGCGAAGCGGUGAAGUGGCUGUCCGUGCAAGAGCAUACGAGACUCUGCGUUUGAUUAUCAGUCCCGGAUUAGUGGUUACUUAUUGUAACCUUUGACAUGCGAGCACUCGGAUAAAAUGUCUGAACGAUCAACGAUAAGAUUUUGAACAUAACUCAUCGGUCUUAAGUCUUCCGUCUCCUAAGUUCCUCGUAGACAAAUGUAGAUAUUUGCUGCUCCUAUCCAGAGUCAGAUCGUAUCCCAAGAACGAUCAUAGUCAAUUGAUCUGGAGUCUAAGGCAUUCUUAAGAUAAAUACUUUACUCUCUACAGAAUUCAUGUGACCUAUAGUGUACGAUGAUGUUUAUUUAUAUCAAUAGCUUUAUUAUGCAUAUGACGAGAACCACCAGAUAAUUGAAGAAGACCCAUGCAGGAAGAGGAAUCAGUGAGUCGUUCCGGAAGUCGCAGUAUGGCCGUGGAUACGCCCCAAACAAUACAGAAUAAUUAACCAUUGGCAGACCUCAAAUUUCUAUCGUGCAGACAUCUGAGCGGGUAUGGAUAAUGAUAUGUGUGUAUUUACCAUGGCGAAGUCUCGGGUCAUCCGUGAUUACAUGGUAUCGGUAUCGUACAAUGCGAAGGGAUUCCCAGUGGUUCCCUUAACCACCUCCGCGAGCGUCGAGACGUCCAGCAUCCGUCCGGCCACGAAGGGUGUGUCCCGGUAUGGAUGAAUGGUUGGCUAUCUUAUUGAGCUAUCAAUGCUCUGACUUAACCCUUUGCCUUGGCCAACACAAUCCCCCUGGCGAACCUUUGAUCUUUACCGACACCGCGCCGGUAACUAUAUGUUGCAUUAUGACUUCACUGCACUUAUUAUUGCUCGCUACACUACUGUUACUCGCAGUGGUUCUCAGAUCGAUGCCAAUUCUAUAAAUUUUUUUGUAAUUGCAAUUUCCACCAGAUACAAAGUUGCCUCUAGAAGCCCUAAGCGUGAAGAAACCACCAAAGACCAUCAACUGCUCUCCCAAUGCUCACCAGCCCUCGUAAACCAUCACCGUGUACCACCGCAAGAGCAAUCGAGAAGAAGAACCGACAGAGUGAAAAUGGAGGAGAGUCGCAAAAGGCGAAGCCAUAAACAGAACCAAUAAAAUAUUAUAUACGCGUAAAGGGCUCACGGACAAACGGGCAUAUAGUGUGGCCCGUCCAAGAGCGGGAGGGGCGAAAAGGGCGUGAGGGUGAGAGGGUAUAAUAACAGCUGCAACGUAUAAUUGCCUGAACGAUUGAAUUUCUAUAUUACCGCGAAGUAAGAGCCGUAAGACGUAUGGCCCUUGAAAAUCGUUUCUACGCGCUGCGACUGUUAGCCCUCGUUGCAACAAGAUGACUGCGACUCGUUUAUAAGUAUCUCGAUAGAGAUUUAGUAGGUGGUACCAGGUCCGUUGAAUUAGUUGGGAUCGUUCAGCGCUGUUGUUUUGGACCAAGUUGCCAUCGAAAUACGAAUGAACGCGAUGCGCGCCAUAACGUCACGGUGGAUUCGAGCCAAACGUUACGAGACGGCCGGCAAUGAGUUACCGGGCGGAGACUAUAACUCGCCCAGUGAUAUACGACUGUAUCUCGGUACCAUUUGGCAGACGUAGAUAUAUUAUACGCAUUCCGCCUCGACGUGAAUUUAUUUAUUCUAUAAUUAUCGCGUACAAUUGGUAAUGCGUUCCGUGCGCGUCAGAGGGUUACCGCUCACUCGGUGCCCAUUUUCGGAAGCUACGAAAACCCGAAAGCUCUUCUCUCAUAUAUAUACAUCCUUUUUCCCAUCUCCGUUCAUUUCAUAUACAAGCGGCCCCCCGUCUACCCUCCCUUUUGUAUCACGAGAAAGCACGAAAAGCUGCCUACGUCAAUAUCCGGCACUCGAAGAUCAGGUCCGGUUACGUCGAGGGUAUUAUUUGCAAUGCUUUUCAGGGCAUUAAUAUUACCAGUAUUACGCCAUUAGCACGUCUGAGUUACGGUACGUACAGUCAAGGCACGCUUCUCUCGUCUUGUACGAGCCUGGACCGACCUUCGAAACCUUCAUGCAAAUAGAUAUGUAAGCUUACAGUGUAAUCCUGCAUCCUUCAAGAGGACCGCUGUCCAGAGGACGAAGAAGCUUAUUCCACAAGAGCAAGGUGAAAGGUGCAGCUAGGUUGAUCUUGGUAGCACUGGAACAUUCGAGGCUAGCCCUAAGGCUACGUAACCAAGUGCCUGGCAGAAGGGUUACGGAAGGCUGAAGAACCAGGAGAAGUGAGGUUUGAAGGAGUAAUGGCAUGGGGGGUAUGACCAAUCAAUUACUAGUAGUGCAGCGGCCCCACACACAGCACCAAUAUUACCGGGACCAUUACCUUUCGCCUGCUACACCUUCCCGGCCAUAGAGGCCGGAUGCUCGCUUACAAAUUCUCCCCUUGAGAUGAACAGGUGAAGCAUCCAGGCUGGAUUUUGCAAGGAUGUUUUGUAAAUGCUUAACCGGGGAUCGCCAACGUCGUUUCGCCCCAGGCACGUCCGAUGCGUCCCAGGCUGCAACGGGAACGGCGAACCGAAGCUAUCGAACGGAACACGAAGACGCUGGCUCCGAGAAGAUAUUUUAAUUAUCGUCCGCACGAUCUUUCUUGCUUUAUGGUCCAAUUACUAAAUCCGCCCGCGACACGGCUCCACGCUCUUUGAAAAUUACGCCCCUGUUCUCUUCUCUGGUCCGAAGACUCUUCCCAUUCGUGUGGGCAUGGAUCACGCGGGGGUUGGAGAUGAUGUUUGUAUUUGGUACGCUUUAUGUUUUCUUAAGUUUCUCGUAGAAGAGAAGGAAGCGAACGACGACAGAAUGUUUGUUUAGGGUAAUGCAAUUGUUUAAAAAGAAGUGUAACGUACGUAUAAGCUUGACGCAGCGUCAUUCAGAUUCAGCGAGUGAGAAGCUUGCGGCACUGAUUCUCCGACUGCUUGAUCUAUUUUGGCCAUUUUUCAUACAGCGUAAUAGCGCCGAUAAAUCAAAUUAAACAUGAUGUUAGUGUGGAGAGCGCGUGCGCCUCGCACGGUCCAGGGCCCUCUAAAUCAUUGGUAGGCAUAACGCAUUGGGAGGAUCAAAGGAGCGCGAGCACUCGCGGCCGUCUUCCUUUUUAUUUCUAUCAUUACCGGCUAUAAUUACACUUAAGCUCAGUCUAUUUACCUUCUCAAAAUUGUACCUCUAAUCGAAAGCGUCCGCAAUUUUCACUGUUUUCAAUAAUCAUUUUU